This 7579-nucleotide long non-coding RNA is filed under the name Homo sapiens (human). RNAcentral's name for it is "long non-coding RNA NONHSAT167321.1". Lineage: Eukaryota; Metazoa; Chordata; Mammalia; Primates; Hominidae. The record is from RNAcentral.
CAGCUUUAUUUGGAACAGCGAAAACCUGGGAACAGCCCCAUUGUCUGUCAGCAGGUGCGUGUCCGACGCAUCGUGGUGCCUCCACACCACACAACGUGCUCAGCAACGGAGAGAAACAGACUCUGGGAGAAAACUCCAUCUCAAAGGCUGCAUUCCGCACUCCGUUCCCAUAACACUCUUGAAAGGAUGAGUGACGCCGGCGGGUGCUGUGGGUUAGAGAAGGGCCCCGCGGGGCACACCUCACACCUGUGGGGAUGGACGGUCAUGCAUCUCGAAUGUGGUUGUGGUUACAGAAAUCCACAUAUGCGGCCACACAUCGCAGAAUCUCCACACGGAGUCGUACCCAGAAUAAAACAAACACACGGAAACCUAGGAUGUCCAAAUGAGCUCCGUCAUCCAGUGACUUGCGUGGUGCCCAUAUCAGUUUCCUGGUUUUAAGAAUUUGUUGUAGCUCUGCAAAGUGCUGCAUUGUAGGAAGCUGAGGAAUGGAAUGUGGGACCCCUCUGUACUAUUCGGCAACUUUUUGUGAAGCUAUAAUUAGCUCAAAAUGCAAAGCUAAAAUUACUGAGGACUUAGAAAUAAACUUGACAAAAGAUUUACAAGUCCUAUAUACUGAGAACUGAGAAACAUCAAUGAGAGGAAUGAAAAAAGGCCUAAAUAAAUGGAGCCAUAGCAUGUUCAUGGAAGAUGCCAACUCUCCCCAGAUUGAUCUCCAGAAUCAACACAAUCCCAAUCAGAAUCCCAGCAGGAUUUUUGUAGAAAUUGGUAAGCUAAUUCUAAGGUUUAUACAGAAAUGCACAGGACUUGGAGUAACCAAAGCAAGCAUAAAAAAGAACAGAGUUGAAGAAUUUAUAUUACUUGAUUUUAAUCAAGACAGUCAAUAUAAUCAUUAUAACAGAUAAAUAGGUCAAUGAGACAGAACAACACCCAGGCCUACUCAUCUAUGGCCACUACUCAUUUAUGGCCAAUUGACUUUUGAUAAAUGUGCUGAGGCAAUUCAACAGGGAGAGAAUAACCUUUUCCACAAGGAAUGCUGGGUCAUUUGGACACCCAUAAGCAACAAAAUAAAACAAUUACAAAUCCUCAAAACCCUUACCUCACACCACAUACAACAAUUAACUUUGGGCUGGAUGCAGUGGCUCACACCUGUAAUCCCAGCACUUUGGGAAGCUGAGGCAGGUGGAUCAUUUGAGGUCAGGAGUUCAAGACCAGCCUGGGCAACAUGGUGAAACUCUGUUUCUACUAAAAAUACAAAAAUUUUCUGGGCAUGGUGGCAUGUGCUUGUAAUCCCAGCUACUCAGGAGACUGAGGCAUGAAAAUUGAUUGAACCUGGGAAGUGGAGGUUACAGAGAGCCAAGACCACGCCACUGCACUCCAGUGUGGCUGACAGAGCGAGACUCCAUCUCAAAAAAAAAAAUUGUAAUAGGUCAUAAAUCUAAAUGUGUGAACUAAAACAGUAAAACUUGUAAGAAGAAGAUAAGAUAAAAUCAUGGUGACUUUUAGUUUGGGAAAGGUUUUUUAAAUAGAACACAAAAAGUUCAAACUACAUGAAAAAACCAAUAAGCUAAAUUUUAUUAAUUUAAAACUUUUGCCCUUUAAGAGACACUAUAAAGAGGCAAGCUGCCAAGCUGGAGAAAUUAUUUGCAAACCAUGUUCAAAAAGGACUUCUUUCUAAAACAUGUCAAGAAGCCUUUCAACACAAUAAUGAGACAAAACAAUUCAAUUAAAAAGUAGGCAAAAUAUUUGAAUGGAUAUUUCACCAAAGAAGCUAUAUUAACAGACAGAAGCACGCAAGACGAUGCUGACAACCAUUUAGUCCUUAGGGAAGUGCAAACGAAGACCAGUAUGAGAGGUGCCUACAAACCCACCAGCAUGGCUAACAUGUUCAAAAGUGGCCCUGCCAAGGGCUGGCGAGGAUGUGGGGCAACUGGAGCGCGCAGCAUGUUGGCAGGAUCAUAACACAAGAACCACAGGGAACGGUUCGGCCAUUUCUUAAAAAGCUACACAGAGUCACCAUGUGACCCAGACAUGUCUGUUCUGGGAACGUCCACAGAAAGACUGUGUCGUAAACGUUCACAACAACCUUGCCUGUAAUCACCAAAAUCCAAAACAACCUGAACGUCCUCCACGGGUCAGUGGAUGAACCAAUUAUGAUACACCCAUGCAACUAGUGCUCCCCAGCAUUGAAAGGAUGAAUUGUUGGAUGAAUCUCAAAAUAAUUACACUGUGAGACAAUGUCAGGCAAUAAGAGUAUACACGCUGUGUUACCCAGGACAGAAAUGAAUUAAUCUACAGUGACAGAAAGGUCAGUGUCAUCAGAGGAGCAGGAGGGUGGAGGGACGGGGCAGGGGCCAGCCUGGGGGAGGGGAUGUCCAUGGUCUCGAUUGUGGUCAUGGCUCUGUGGGUGCAGCAGAAUGUCAAAACUUAUCAAACCGUACGUCUUAAAUAUGGGCAUUUAAUUGCAUGUCAAAAAAAUCUAAACAAAGCUGAAAAUGGACAAAAUACCACAACCAAUGACAUCUGACCGUAAAGAGAUGGAUUUAGGUAGAAGGAAGAAUUCUUUAACACAGAAUAUGGGUCUCUGAGGGAAAUGUUAUCUCGUAAUUUUCUCACUUUUGGUGUAUUUAAGCUGUAGGACAAGGAGUGAACCCUAACAUUUGGUGAGAGUCUGUGAAACACACUAGGAACCCCCAUGCUGCUUGCGAGUUACUUCCGAGAAACAGCAGAAUGUCACACCCUGUCACCCGCAGGUGCCGUCUGAGGGGCGCUCAUCCCCACCAGCCCGAGGGCCUCCCCGCCAAGGGAGGGGUGUACUCCCUUCCACUUGGCGUCUGCUUGUGCAUUGCCCCUCCCUGAACUCAAGACCUGAGCCUCUCUCGCCUGGACUAUUUGGAAAGUCUACAAAUGGAAGAAGGGGUGCUCUCACUGAGUUGUGUCCGCACAAGGGAAACUGUCCAGGAGCCACAGAAGCAACCGCAAAGUGAGCCUCUCAGACGUGGUUAAAGGGAAGCCAGGCAAAAAGACUGCACGCUGUUGGGUUUCAUUUACUCAAAACCCUAAAACAGGCAGAAUGAGUCAUCUGUGGUAAACCAGCAUUGGGGUUACCUCUGGGGGCCGGGAGGGAACCCUGGGGUGCCAGUCACGUCUGGCGUCUCGGCCUGGGUGGUGGGGAUGGCUCGCCAAGCCUGUUUGUUGCACACGUGGCAUGUCAGCAGAAACACGGGGCAAAUACACACGUGAACACAAGAACCCCGGGUCCCUCCCUCAUCUACCCAGCGACCCUCAGUCACCCCAGCCGGCUCCCUCUCGCCACCCACGGGCUUUCUGUGGAGGCCCCAGCCUGGCCCUGGAGGCCGUGACCCACCCCGCCUCUUGCCUGAGGUCAGCCCAAGAGACCUUCCUGUCUUCGGCCUGGAGAAGGAGCGGCCGCCAGGACCACCCGGGCCUCAGCUCCCUGGGAGGGCCCCUGGAGGACCGGGGCUGCUAAAGUCCACGGGCAUCACCGCAUCUAAUCCAGGCCCUUUGAUGUGGGUGAUGUUGAUACUCCCACUUUACAGGUGGGGAAACCAAGGCUUCAGCUUCCGUGGCCAGGGGAUGAAUGGGAGUGUGGUCUGGAUGGUGGCUCCUGGACCGGAAGCAUGAUGGGAGCCAUGAGGAAUGCAGGUUCUUGGGUCCUUCCAGCUCUGCUGGAUUGGAUGCUCGUGGGGGCUCAGGGUCAACACAACCCCCCAGGACUCUGACCUGGGAAGUGGAGCAGCCUGAUUUGGAGGCGAGGACACACCAGGAGGCACCUUGCCCUGUGGCCACUGCACUGAGGCUUGAGAGAUCACUAGAGACAGCUCAGCCUCAGUGCUCCCGCGCCCCCGCCUCGGUGCUCCUGCGCCCCCGCCUCGGUGCUCCUGCGCCCCCGCCUCGGUGCUCCUGCGCCCCCACCUCGGUGCUCCUCCACUCCCACCCCGGUGCUCCUUCCACCUCUGCCUCACCCGAUGGACUGUGCCUUUGCGUUUCUUGUGCACAAAUCCUGCUGAAGUCUGGGCAGCUGUGUGUUUGAUGAUGGGCUUGUAGGAGAGAAGCAUCUGGACUGCGCCGUGCAGAUGGCGCUUCUCUCCAGGCACAGUCACAUUCCUGGGAGGUUCCUGGAGGCCUCCGAGCCUCGUGCAGACCCAAGGCUGCCUCACCACCAUGGCCACAGCCCAGUGCUGGCUGCCGGGCAUCAAAUCUGCAGAAAUGCACGUGGCAUAAAAGCACCAGAGACAUCCGUCCAGAGCCGAGGGCUCCUCCCUGGCCCAACAUUUUGUCCACGUAAGUCCACUUUUUGGCUGCUGCUCCCAGGCCUGGCAAGAACGCAGAUCCCCACAGCCUCCUGCUCCCUGGCAGCCUGAGGACAGUGUCGUAGGCCUGGGAUCCUCGGGCAGAACUGAAUGCAGCUUUUCCAUUGGAGGGCGCUGGGCCCACAUGGCAAUCACAGGUAUGGCAGAUGAACUCACGGGAUGCUCCGGGACUCCAGGGGCCUCAGGAGAAAGGCCCACUGGCAGCGGGUUGCCCAGGGCUCCAGAGGGGGGCUCCAAUGUGAACCAGUUGCUUGUGGCACAGCGGGUCACCCAGGAUGGCCCUGCGUGGUCAGUGAUAACAGGCAGUCACUCACAGCGCGACUUCACCCAUGGUCACUCCCGGUGACCAGCACUGCACAGCCUGGGCUUUCGUCCCACAUGGCACCUCCCUGUCCAGCCUUGGCCCAAGUGCCUGGGAAACAGACAGGGCACCGUGUGCCUGAACACACUCGGACAGUCGAGGCCCCCAGGAGAAGCAACAGGCAAUGACUCGGUCCCCAAGAAGCUGAGCCUGUCCUUGCUGGGGUCUGUCAUCUCCUCUUAGCCCCGCCAGGCUCCUGAAGCUGCCACAUGUGCAGCGGGAGGUGGGUGGUUUGGGAGCAGAGCGAGGCUCUGGAUGGACGGGCUUUACCACCAGCAGCCACCACCACCUGCUCUGCAGGGCCUGGGCCAGCCCUGAGGAGGUGGCAGACGGAAGGAGGGGCAGCACUGCCUCAGGUCUCCUUUACUGUCUUCCAGACAUCAGCUCAGGGAGAGUAGGCAUGUAGCACUGAGAAACAGGGUUGCUCCCCAUGGCUGCCUCUGCUUCCCUGCCGCACAGUGUCUGUACACGGCCUGGGGACCUGCGAGGCCAGACCGCAGGGCAGGGGCCCACGGCUGUGCCAGCUUCUCUCCCAGGCCGUGGCGGUUAUUACCUCCUGACUUGGCAGAGCAUCCGGCUACUGGAGCCCAUUGGUUCCGGCCAGUGCAGUCAGGACUUAGCUUCCCAGCUGUGAUCUAAAUCCCAGCCUCCCAAAGGCACAGCGCCUAAGUUCUCCCCUGCCAAGCUCACAGCCUUCUCCUUGGCAGGCUGCCCUUUCUCCUGCUGGACCAAACCAAGGAGCACGGUGACCCAGGGACACCACACUCGGUGUCAGCCUCUGAGGCCAUGGAGCCACGCAGACCCAGCACAGGAUUAGAAACAGACCUUCCCGGGAGGCAGAGAGCCAGGCCUCCUGGUUUAUAGCAUGACAAGGCAGCACUCAGGAGGACGCAUCAAUCCUUCUCCAUGUCAGCACCUGUGACUGUGACCACUGGACCCUUGGGCCUGGCGUUUCUUCACCUGCGACCAUCCAGGAGCUGGACCUGCCCUAGGGCGUCAGUUUCCAGGGAAGCCUCUGGCCUGUGUGUGAGCCUCCCCACCUGCCCGGCCACGGCCUCCACAGGCGCCCUGCGCAGCCCCGCCCCUCCUGGGGCAAAGGCUUUGCGAAGACUUUCUUCUCUGGCUCAUCCCUUUAAGGAGGCAUAAAAACGAACCCCGGGCCUCACAGGUCCGGAAUGCGCCCCCCUCCACGAUGGGAGCUUCUUGGCCUUGGCUGUGCAGGGGCCGCGGCUCCUGGGGGUCUGGCCGGAUCUGCAGUAGUGCUGAAUGAGCUGUGGCCAGGAAGACGCAAUGAAUAAUUGUCACUUAAAAGGAUAAACAGAAAUUCCAUUUCCCUUUUAAAUACUUGAACAUUUCAAAACAUCUGGAGGACGCGAUGCUUUUCCUUCCAAGCAUCUCCGUGGAGUUUUGUGGGUUACCGCAGAGGAUCGGCAGCAUUCCUCUCUCAGGGAAAACUGGCCUGAGCAUUGCAUAACGCAGGCAGACUGCACCCCUCACGUCGCCUGGGGCCACAUGCACAUGUUUCCAAGAGACUUGCUGGAGAAUCUUCCCCGGAUCUUGACAAAGUUGGACAUGGAAAGCACGUUGGUCCAUCCAAGGUCCACAGAGCGACCCUGGCUAUGAAAAAUCAUCCUCCGAGUGGGAGUCUGUCUGCCAGGAGUGAGGUGACACCGCACAUGGCCUCAGGAGCUGGAAACGCUGGUGAAUUCAGAUGCAGCCAAAGCUUCUAACUUAGUCACAGUUAUUAAUUAUUCUUGGUCUUAUUGGAGCAGGAACCACUGCCAUGCAUCAGGCCAGCAAGGCUCACUCCCCACCGUAGGAUCCCUGUGUAGACGGUCGCUCCAUCAGUGUAGUUGGGUGUGUGGAGCAAGGGACUGGGCUGACCCUACCUUCCAAGCAUCGAUGUGGCCUUCAGCAGAGCAGGAGGAGAUAGCCCAGGACUUGUACUUUGCAGUUGAAGUGCCAGACCUAAGAAAUGCAAACCUGAGGAUGGAAAGAGGGUGGAGAGGGGGGAGGUGUCUGGAUUGGCCGUCCAGAGCAGCCCCAGCUGCAGCAAGUGGAACUUGGCUGGCUGCCUCACAGGCCUGGUGGCAGCGUCCCCAGCGAGGAGCCUGUCCCACAUAUGAAGGUCCCCAUACCCUUAGCCCCUAGCUGAGAGUUUCACUGACCAGAGCUCCCUGAGUCCAGGGCUCCACUCAAGGGACUGCUGUCCCCGUUGGUGAAGAAGGCCUGUUGGGGCCAAUGCUUCCCCCCACAGGGAAGCGGAGCUGUAUUUUGUCGGACAGAACUUUGCAAGCCUGAAACAGCUGGUGGUGGCCCCAGAGCCAAGAUCUGACCUCACUCCAGAGUUGAAGGGCACAGAGAAGGCACAGCUAGAGGCGGCAGGUACCCCUCAAAGCUCUCGGGAGAGGGUACAAAGUGGGACCUCCCAGCACCCUUGGCCUCCAGGCCUCAAAAGCCCUGAGAGGGCUGCAUGCAAGGAGACAAAGCUGGAGAAGGAUGUGGGAGGCAGGUGGCUAAGAAGACAGGCUGGAAAGGGACGUGGGAGGUAGGUGGCUUUGCUCUAAACAGAAUCGUCUCAGUAAUGUGACACUGCACAUGUAUAGGUAGGCUCGCUCAUGGGCAUAACCCUCUAAAACACACCUUUUAUGGAGUGAAAUUCACUUAACAGCCAUCUUGAAGCAUAUACUUCGGCGGCAUUUGCUGGAUUCACGACGUUGUGCAACCUCUGCUUCUCCAGUUUCAGAACAUUUCAUCCCUCCAGAACAACAGCUCAUCCCCAUUAAGUAAUCACUCCUCAUUCCUUCCCCAUCCUCUGGAAACCACAGAUCUGCUUUCUGUCUCUAUGGAUUUGUCCGUUUUGGAUAUUUCAUAUAAAAGGAAUCAC